This 82-nucleotide non-coding RNA is filed under the name unclassified sequences. The record is from RNAcentral.
UUCCUUAAAAACGGUCCCACCAGGUUCGACCUUAAACGCCUUAAUAUCUCUACUGGAGGGUGGUAGAGAAAUACUUAUUACC